This 497-nucleotide ribosomal RNA is filed under the name uncultured bacterium. Its description in RNAcentral is "partial 16S ribosomal RNA". It matches the Rfam family "Bacterial small subunit ribosomal RNA", at positions 28 to 507 of the family's 1533-position model. The record is from RNAcentral.
GAUGAACGCUGGCGGCGUGCCUAAUACAUGCAAGUCGAGCGAACAGACGAGGAGCUUGCUCCUCUGACGUUAGCGGCGGACGGGUGAGUAACACGUGGAUAACCUACCUAUAAGACUGGGAUAACUUCGGGAAACCGGAGCUAAUACCGGAUAAUAUAUUGAACCGCAUGGUUCAAUAGUGAAAGACGGUUUUGCUGUCACUUAUAGAUGGAUCCGCGCCGCAUUAGCUAGUUGGUAAGGUAACGGCUUACCAAGGCAACGAUGCGUAGCCGACCUGAGAGGGUGGUCGGCCACACUGGAACUGAGACACGGUCCAGACGCCUACGGGAGGCAGCAGUAGGGAAUCUUCCGCAAUGGGCGAAAGCCUGACGGAGCAACGCCGCGUGAGUGAUGAAGGUCUUCGGAUCGUAAAACUCUGUUAUUAGGGAAGAACAAAUGUGUAAGUAACUAUGCACGUCUUGACGGUACCUAAUCAGAAAGCCACGGCUAACUACGUG